RNAcentral lists this ribosomal RNA (475 nucleotides) under uncultured bacterium. RNAcentral's name for it is "bacterial SSU rRNA". It matches the Rfam family "Bacterial small subunit ribosomal RNA", at positions 34 to 507 of the family's 1533-position model. The record is from RNAcentral.
CGCUAGCGGCAGGCCUAAUACAUGCAAGUCAGGGGUAACAGGUGUAGCAAUACAUGCUGACGACCGGCGCACGGUGCGUAACACGUAUACAAUCUGCCCAUCACUGGAGAAUAGCCCGGAGAAAUCCGGAUUAAUACUCCAUAAUAGUAGAAGAGGCAUCUCUUUUAUUUGAAAGCUACGGCGGUGAUGGAUGAGUAUGCGCCUGAUUAGUUUGUUGGUGAGGUAACGGCUCACCAAGACUACGAUCAGUAGGGGAUCUGAGAGGAUUAACCCCCACACGGAUACUGAGACACGGAUCCGACUCCUACGGGAGGCAGCAGUAAGGAAUAUUGGACAAUGGCCGCAAGGCUGAUCCAGCCAUGCCGCGUGCAGGAAGAAGGCGCUAUGCGUCGUAAACUGCUUUUACACCGGAGAAAACCCCCCUACGUGUAGGGGGCUGAUAGUAUGGUGAGAAUAAGCAUCGGCUAACUUCGUG